RNAcentral lists this ribosomal RNA (468 nucleotides) under uncultured bacterium. Its description in RNAcentral is "partial 16S ribosomal RNA". It matches the Rfam family "Bacterial small subunit ribosomal RNA", at positions 28 to 507 of the family's 1533-position model. The record is from RNAcentral.
GACGAACGCUGGCGGCGUGCUUAACACAUGCAAGUCGAACGGAAAGGCCCUGCUUUUGUGGGGUGCUCGAGUGGCGAACGGGUGAGUAACACGUGAGUAACCUGCCCUUGACUUUGGGAUAACUUCAGGAAACUGGGGCUAAUACCGGAUAGGAUCUCCUGCAGCAUGUUGUGCGUUGGAAAGUUACGGCGGUUGGGGAUAGACUCGCGGCUUAUGAGCUUGUUAGUCGGGUAGUGGCUUACCAAGUCUGUGACGGGUAGCCGGCCUGAGAGGGUGAACGGCCACAAGGGGACUGAGAGACGGAGCAGUAUCGUACGGGAGGCAGCGGUGGAGAGUAUUGCACAACAGGCGGAAGCGAGAUGCAGAAAUGCCGCGUGCGUAAUAACGGGUUACGAGUUAAAAACCGCUUUCGCCUGUGAUGAAGCGUGAGUGACGGUAAUGAGUAAAGAAGCAACGGCUAACUACGUG